UUUUAUUAUUCAUAGUAUGAUAACAAGCAUGAUGCAAAAGUGAUACAGCAAACAACACAGAUUAACAGUUACAUUUAAUUCCUCAUGACGAAAUAGUUACUUGCAAAGAGUAACACAUGAUUUGAGGUUAUUUACACACUGCUCUUCAAUACAAUUGAAGUUGAAAGCUUGGCAAGUCACAAAAAUACAGGUCACGAAUGGAUUUCGACAAUUAUCCAAACAUUGACCCAAUCCCACCUGCUGCCCAUUCACAUA
Molecule: long non-coding RNA, 255 nt
Filed under: Zostera marina
Lineage: Eukaryota; Viridiplantae; Streptophyta; Magnoliopsida; Alismatales; Zosteraceae
Description: long non-coding RNA (ZMAR_LNC003597)
Source: RNAcentral